GUUCUCACUUUGGCAGCACAUAUACUUAAAUUGGAAUGAUACAAAGAAGAUUAGCAUGGCCCCUGCUCAAGGAUGACAUGCAAAUUGGUGAAGCAUUUCAUGUUUUU
Bison bison bison is the source of this 107-nucleotide small nuclear RNA. NCBI's taxonomy places the organism in Eukaryota, Metazoa, Chordata, Mammalia, Artiodactyla, Bovidae. The record is from Ensembl.